This is an RNA transcript of Lycium barbarum (goji berry), 6346 nucleotides long. It is a transcript of the gene named mitotic spindle checkpoint protein MAD2-like, with no coding region annotated. The transcript has 3 exons. The record is from RefSeq and is a predicted model, not a curated record. NCBI's taxonomy places the organism in Eukaryota, Viridiplantae, Streptophyta, Magnoliopsida, Solanales, Solanaceae.
CCAUUUCUUUCUUCAUCUUCGGUUGACUUUUUUGUGUUCUCUUGUUCUUUUGUUUUCUUUGCCUUUUUCCUCUGUUGGACUGCUCUCUUCUUUUUUUCUUUGUUUUUGGUUUACUUGACAUUACUUUGCACCAAUCAAGUGUUGCAUUUGGGUAAUAUAUAGUUUUAUAUGCAGGAUAAGGUUUGAAAUACGGGUUUUAAGAAUUUAUAUUGAACUCUUACUUCAAAGAUGGAACAUACAAUUGAAAGUUUUGAAGCUCAGACAUGAAUAUUGAUGAUUGAGUCAGAUAUUUCUGUACCGGCAGAGACUAGAUAUAAAUGCUUGUUUGAUUGUUCAAUUUUUUCGGGAAUUUACAAGAUAAGCAUGAUUUUAAUUUUAGCGUGUUGAUUAGUUUCUUUUUCCUUUAAUAUUUGGGUUCUUCAUCGCCUUCUAUGUAUUCUUGUUGGAUUCUCUCGAUUAUUUUCAGUUUUAAGCUUCUUUUUUACUUUGGUCAAAUUGAUGGGAGUUGAAGAGGACAGGUAAGGUAAUUUAGAAAUUCAUAAUAUUGUAAGAAAUCUGUUACUGAUAAGUAUGAGUUUUCAUCUUUGUCAUAUUCUUAAAUGCCAAAAUUCAGUGUAAUUCUCUCUCACAUAUGACCAAUAUUUUGUUUUCUUUGCUUCAGUUUCUGGUCAUCGCUAUUUACUUCUCACUAGUCAGUUUGUCCUUAACCUCUGCUGUAUUUUUGAGUUCGGCAAGAUUUUUUUCUUUUUACAGUUAUUUUUUGGGUACUUUUCCUUUUGUAAUGGUAAUUUCUUUUACAACAUUCUUGUUCUUUAUGGAUAUCAUCUUAACUUAGUGUUGGACUCAAAAUGGUCAAGAAACAGUCAUUGAGUAGUACUCUUGUUUGGACUGAUGAUAAAUCGGUUCAUUUACUUUCCAUGUAUUUCCAAUUGAUCGGAUCCAAUCAAGACACUUCACAUUCUUGGGGGAGGACCAAGGCUUGAAGUUUCAUCAUGAAUGACUCUAGCUAUUGUUGGUUUCUGUUAUCCUAGCAUGCACUCUGAAAUCUAAAUAUCUUCCCCCUACGUUCUACACUAUUUAUGUUGUACAAAUUGCAGUGUUGAAAGAGGUUAGUCAAACAGCUAGCUUAGACCUUAUUAGGUAAUCAAAUAGAUGGAAUGAAAUAUUAUUUUUGUUAUGGAUUGAUGUAUACCUCUUUGAUAAUUUUUUCUUUGUCCUACUAACUAUCCUGGUAAUAGAAAAUUUACAUGCAGGUCCAGCUAUUUUUUUAAUUUUAUAAUGUUAGUGAAUGAUUCUGAUGUAUCUCUCAAAAGUUCUAUGUCAAUUCUUCAAUGCAAAAAAAAUCCAGAAACUACUGCGAGAAAUAAACUAAUGAUCGCAUGUAAAUUAUGACAUUUUCUCUUACAUAUCAAGCGGUUUUUUGCAGGAAAAUGAAGUCCCUACUAUCAUUUCCAACUUGAAUGCCCAACUCACUGAGUGGUUGGAAGCUGGAAAGCUACAAAGGGUGGCUCUUGUGAUAAUGAGCAAGGACGCUGGUGAGGUAUCAGAGAGGUGGAAGUUAGUACCGAAACUGAUAGCGAGGUUGAGGUAAGCUGAUUAGUACCAAAACUGAUAGCAAGAUUGAGGUAAGCCGAUUAUCAUUUUCUGAACUCUGGUAAAUUUUGUGGAUUGAAAAAACGUGUAUACUAGAGUUUUUUUUUGUAUGGCUGUAGAAAAUAUAGAAAUUUUCUAAUUUCUUUUAUGAGCUUAAAUGAGUGAAGAACCAUAUGUUCGACCCCAACUUGGUUGGAUCAUGCAGUAAUAGCUGUUAGAAAAAAUGUAUGUUGGAUUGUUCGUUCAUUAGCAUAACUUUUAUUUGGUUAGUGUUUCAAGAGAGAAAAGUGGAAAAGAGAUAAUGAGGGAUAUUCAAGCAAUUAUGAGACAAAAUAGCUUCCAGCAUCACUUAUCCUUUAUGCUUGGAAGCUGAGCACUGUAGUCAUGGAACAAAGGUAAUCAAAAUUACACCUUCAACUUACUCUUCCUUGCAUCUCUUUCAAGAAUAAAAACUGUAGUGUUGCACAUUUGAGCAAUGCUGAUCGACUUGUUGUCCUUGAAUCGUCUUAACCUGUAAUCUCUCUUCUCAAUUUAGUUUCUUGAGUGUUGAUCUAUUUGUGGGUGUCUGCAUGCGUUUUCUAUUUCUUCUUUUUCCUCUUUUCCCCAUCACCCUUUCGCCACAAUUUCUUGCUUCUUUUCAUUUUUCUUAAGUUGUCAAGCGAGGGGGCUUGUUUUCUUUAUGCUAUAAGGGGAAAUAUUAAAAACUUAGCAUGUAGUAAUAGGUGGAGAAAAGAUUCAAGCACUGUACUACUAUUCAAAUGCCUUACAUCAAACGCAUGUUUUAAAGCAGCUAAAUUCUGAGGACUACUUCGAUAUAUUAAAUCUUUUCUCAAUAAUCUAUACCAAGGUAGUGAAAGAAUAGAUUUAUAGACUUCUAGAGCCUAUUUAGGAUAGGCUGAUCCUCUUUUUCCUCUAAACCAAUUGAAUUUAUCUCAAGAAAGAAUUCUUAGGUAGGUCAGAGAUAAGUUUGGUAUACUGUCUUCCCUUCAUCAGCAGGCUGUAUAGUCGCAUAGCAAUUGUUCCACGAGAGUACUAUGGAAACCCGUUGCUCGAUUUAGGUGCUCAUCCUCUUAUAUUUUCAUUUAGUGUGUCUUCCUACUCUAAUUCUGAGAUAUCAAAACUAUGAAGGUCACAUAUUUUUAGGAUUGUUGUCAAUCCUUAAAGAGAACUGCAAGAAUUUGGUUUAGAAAAAUGUUAGUGCCUUAUCGAGAGAGUUACUAUGAAAACCUGCUGCUAGACUUAGGUGCCCGACCUCUUAUUGCUUUCAUUUAGCAUGCCCGUCAACUGGCCCCUACGCCUUAAGGUUUAGUCCUAGGCAUGUGCUUGGAAGGAUUUGUGAUUAUCAUCUAGGCAAGAAGGUUGGUGAUCUUUUAUUUUGCAUAUCAAUGAAAGGAAGCUCGUGGGUAUUCUGCUUUUUCUCUUUUGCCUUUCUCCUCUGCUUGACUGUGGAAACCGUGAGAGUCCUACUAUUAUUUCAUUUUUCACUUUAUGUUUAUGUUGUCCAUGCUCUUCAAAUAGAUUGAGAAUGUCGUUGAGUAGUUUUUCUUUCUGAGAACUGUUUUUCCAACGCAAUAGUAACAAUCACUUUGUGUUUCCCCUUUACUAAUUUCACUGUUACACCUGCAACCUUAAGGGACUUAGCUUCAAAGCACUUGCAUUAGUUAAGGUUGACGCAAGCCGAAAUAGUCAAUUUUGUCUUCCACUGUCAAAAGUUGGUCACGUGUUCUAAAUUUAGUAAAAAAGGUGGUUGUUAGAUUAAAACUACAACCUCAAUUUAGGCCUCUUUCAAUCGAUAUAGUACAUCACUAUAUCAGUUGCAAAAUUUUUUGGCAUCCUGUUAGCGGAAAUCUGAAUGUUCAACCUUCAUUAUAUAUUUUCAGAAGAAGGAAAGUAUAUUUUAUGUUCCUCCUAAAUGAAACAAAGACAAAAAAAAAUGGCUUAAAGUGUGAUUUACAUUACUUGUUACACUAUAGAUGUGGGUGCGAAACUCAAGAACAUUAUAAAUAGACACUUGUUUGGUAUUUUUCUUUAUGAGCAACUCCAAAAUACCGAUCUUUGCUAUUAUAUUCCUUUUCCAACUACCCAUCUAUCCUAAGGCACCAGUUGUGCAUGAUCCAACACUCAACCAAAAGGGUCAUACUAAUUCCUUUAUUUUUGUUGGCAAGACACGAUACAAAAUGGAACUGCUGAGGCAGUUAUCUGCAAUUCCAAGAUUGUCAAGUUGAUGAAAGUUAUCUUCCCAGAAAAAAUUAAGCACCAUGAAGAUAAUAUCAAAUUCUUGGAGACUCAGAAGAACAGAUUAUAUGAUUAAAUUUUAGACGUACGAGGCACUGUUUCCUUCUUUUCAAGUUAAUUCAGUGUUCAAAAAAAUUCAUGUGCAAGAUUUUAAAAGGUCACUACAGUUAUUUUGUUCUUUCAGUAUCCUAGAAUAUAAUGCUUUUACUCGGUCUUUGUGGAAGGGAACAGUCAAACUGUAAUGACCUGCUAAGUCGUUAUGGGGGGUGACUUAGUAAACUAGACUUCCGUGGGAAAUUUCAAGGCCGCGGGUGAGUCUGCAACGUGUUUUUAUGUAUAUGUGCAUGUUUAGUUUGUGUCUGUAGGCCUCGGAUUGGUGUUGGGAUUUUUGGGUGAAAAACUGGUGGAAAAACCCGAACUACUGAUCAAAAUGGACCGCUGCAGCGGCUGUGGGACCGCUGUAGCAAGUUCAUCGUAGCGGGUAGUAGAUCGCCGCCGCGGGGCGGGAAAAGUUAAUGAGGUCCUCCAUAGCGGAAGGUUUAUAGCGAGACCGUUGCAGCAAGACAUCGGCCGCUGCAACGGUCGAUGGGCGACAGAAUCAGAGUUUUAUAUUCUUAUGUCUGAACCCAUUGCCCACAUAACUCCAAAAAAGUUCCCAAGAAUUCUUGUGGCGAAAUUCUAAGGCUAGGGCUAAGAUACUCUUGAAAGGUAAGUCUCAACCCUCUACUUUGUUCAUUCCCUCAUUACAUUAAGUUCCAUGAUUAGUUUAAGGUUCGUUAAUGGCGUAUGAAAGGACUAAAGCCCUAGCAUUUAAGAAACCCUUGAAUAAUGAAUGGGUUAAUGAUUUUAUUGUUGUUUAUUCAUCUAGGAGUAUAGAUUAUCACUUCCUAGGAUGAGAACUUGAUUAUUAAUUGUGAGAAUUAUUGAUUGAGACUUAGGGUUCCAAUAAAAAUGGAAGUUUUAGCCUAAAAAUUGAUUGAAAGAGGUUGAAUUGAUUAGAAAACCCAUGAAUGGGGAUAAUAUGAUGGUUGGGGUUGAUUUUACGAUGAAUUCACCCUUAGUGAUAGUUCAUCCAUUUGAAAAGGAUAGAAGUAGUUGGGUUCUCUUCCCCAAAAUUGUUUUUUGUAUGAGUAGAUGAUCCAUUAUUCACUUAGCGUUAUGAUUGCUAGACUUUGAACGUUCUGAAGCUUUGCGAAAGAAGAAAGCUAUUGCGGAGUGAUUGCAUUGUCCCAGUUCGGCUUUGAGGUAGGUUAAGGUCUACUUAAUUUAUACUUUGAUUAGUUGAUUGUAUAUGUUAUGAAAUUGAUAGGAGAAACAUGGUUAGGGCUUCAGACAUAAAGUGUGGUUGGAAAUUCCUAUGUUUGAUAUUGAUUGGUUGAUUAUGUGAUUAACUAUUAUAAUAUAUUAAAGACGGAGUUAAUGAAUACUCUUCUUGUUGACUUGGAGUAAUCCCUUGUCCAUGCUUUUGAUGAAUUGAUUCUUGAGUCUUGAUAUGACUUGUGGCAUGGUGAGUUAUGUUAUUUGAUAAUGAUGCAUUAAUUGUUCACAUUCCUAAUUGAUUGUGGAAUGGAAGUACAUUGUGAUGAGAAAGACAAUAUAAAUAUGAAAAGACACAAUUGACAGGAGGUGAGGAUGUGGCCUAGUUAAGGGCUCGUGAUCCGAGGUCAGUUCUGGAGCAAGUGGUACAUGGACACCAUGGGUUCCCAGCAGGUCAUAACUAUAUGGGGAAAAUAAUACCAUUUAGCAUGUGUGUACACGGUUGAGAUACUUUUAUUAUGUAUUGCAUUGCAUCGGACUCAUGGCUAUUUGAUAUUUGGCACAAAUAUCGUGUCAUUUUACAUCCCAUUCUUAAGACUUUUAUCGCCUAAUCUAUGAUGAAAUCGUCAAAUUUGAGCUUAUGUCACUAUAUUUCACGUGUCUAGGUACGAUGAAGACAAACGACGGGAAACCGAGCAGUUUUGGUUGAUUCUGGAGGUGACCUUAUAUGCACGAGUGAACGAGAGGAGCUUGCGAUACUUAGGAGAAUUUCUAGAAGGAUUGAGCACAAAUGUGCCAGCCCCAGGUCGCGGGUCCAUGACGGGAAAACCAGGCUGCGGAAUCUCGAAUUUGCAUGUCAUGCCCGCAUCGUGGGCUCAGCACAAAUAGGGGCUAAAAUCAUUGAACACACCGCAUUGGACCCGCGACGCUUGGCCAACGCGGGAAUGCCCAAUUUUGUCCGAUUUUAAUUAGGAUGAGGACCCUUUUAUUUGGUUAACAACCCUAAACUAUUAAUAAAUGCUUUGUUCGUUAUUAAUGACGUGUUGGGAUUAUUUCAAGACUUGUAAGCCGUCAUAUUACUUUCUCUUUAGAAUUUAUUUUAUUUUCAUCUUUUCAACCCUAGAUUAUUCAUGAAUUCUUGUUGUUCAUUGGGAAUCAUGAGUAGCUAAGCUCCUUAAUUCCAGGGUUGUGGCGAAAGACAUGAUAUUUGGUUUGGCGACACUUUCUAUAAAUUAAAUUUUCAUAUUUUGGGUUGCUUAUU